AUAAAUGUACUCCACCAAAAUCAGAAGUAUUAUUAAAGUAGGAAAAAAUGUUUUAUUGAAAUAGUAGACCCCAGGUCUGACAAUAAGUUUACUAAGUAAAGACUAAAAUUUGGUAUAUAAAUUAUUAUUUGACUCCUAAUAUUUCACUGUGUUAGCUUUUUCUCACCCUACGAAUUUCAAUCCUCGUUACUCUUGUAAUGCUUGACUUAGGCCAUGUUUCUUGCAGGUAUCUGGUUAGGUUUCUAGUUGCUUUUUGGCCCAAAAAAAAAUCAAAAAUCGGAUUAAUAAAGAGAAACGAUUCUUGUUUUAGAUUUUUAAGGAUCGAUUCUACUUGUGUACGUGUCACGUUAUGAUAUGAUGUUGAAAUUUGGGGAAAAAAAUGGACUUCAUCAAUACUUUGUUUUCUCCGUCAAAAAUUUCUUUCUCUCGGUCGAUUCUUCUUCUCCUUCUCCGGUCUUCUUCUUCUCCGUCUUCUCCGAUCUUCGUCUUCUCCAAUCUUCGUCUUCUCCGAUCUUUUUCUUCUCUGAUCUUCUUCUUCCUCAGAUAUUUUAUUUCUCUAUUGAAGCGAUUCUUCUCUGAUCUUCACCACACCGUUAUUCCGUCAAAUUCUUCCCAUCAAACACUUCUCCUCUUGUCUUCCAAAUUCUGUUCGAAGCUUUGUCCUUCACCUUUCUCUUCUAUCUCUUUCCCGUCAAAUUUUUCCCCGAUUAAACACACACCUAAUAGAGUUUUUCCCAAUGUGUUUCUAAAAUUCAUGAAUUUUUUAUUGAGUUUCUUAUCUUAAGUUAAUUAAUAUAAUAUGCUUAAAGAAACCCAAAUUGUUUCCAGCGAUAAACAUGCCCUUAGGCGCUCUACUAGAGAUCGUUUGAGAGGUUGGAUAUUGGAACAAAGCUGUGUUUUUCGUUUGUCUACAAAUUACAACGGUUUACUGAUAAACAUUAAACAGUGAGAUCGGUUACUAAAUUGUUGCUAUGCAAAUGCU
Molecule: long non-coding RNA, 982 nt
Filed under: Eutrema salsugineum
Lineage: Eukaryota; Viridiplantae; Streptophyta; Magnoliopsida; Brassicales; Brassicaceae
Description: long non-coding RNA (ESAL_LNC000309)
Source: RNAcentral